GACGAACGCUGGCGGCGUGCUUAACACAUGCAAGUCGAACGGAAAGGCCCUGCUUUUGUGGGGUGCUCGAGUGGCGAAAGGGUGAGUAACACGUGAGUAACCUGCCCUUGACUUUGGGAUAACUUCAGGAAACUGGGGCUAAUACCGGAUAGGAGCUCCUGCUGCAUGGUGGGGGUUGGAAAGUUUCGGCGGUUGGGGAUGGACUCGCGGCUUAUCAGCUUGUUGGUGGGGUAGUGGCUUACCAAGGCUUUGACGGGUAGCCGGCCUGAGAGGGUGACCGGCCACAGUGGGACUGAGAUAGGGGCCAGACUCCAACGGGAGGCAGCAGUGGGGAAUAUUGCACAAUGGGCGGCAGCCUGAUGCAGCAACGCCGCGUGCGGGAUGACGGCCUUCGGGUUGUAAACCGCUUUCGCCUGUGACGAAGCGUGAGUGACGGUAAUGGGUAAAGAAGCACCGGCUAACUACGUG
Molecule: ribosomal RNA, 468 nt
Filed under: uncultured bacterium
Lineage: Bacteria
Description: partial 16S ribosomal RNA
Rfam family: Bacterial small subunit ribosomal RNA
Source: RNAcentral